AACAUCAGCGGGGCUCUGCUCGACAGCUCGAUCGUCGGACGCAGGGCCAGCAUUAGCGGACUGGCUCGCGGACUGAAUGUCGGCGACGAUGCGGUCGUCGAGGCAUGAGUCCAGAAGCGACUGUUAGUCGCUGGCUCGAACUCGCCGUGACCUGCGACAGUGAAGCGGUCGAGCCAGUCUCCGAGCUGUUUGCCUUACACGGAUUCAACCAAGGCGUCGUCGUCGAGGAGUCAUUCACCCAAGACCCAGACGGUGACAAUUUCGCUGUCGACCCGACCCGGCCGGUCGUCGUCCGAACCUUCCUCAACGCGGCCGACGUCGCGCCAGAGACGAUCGGGGAGAUUCGGCGUUCGCUCUGGCACCUGAGCCGGCUCCGCUCGAUCAGCGAACUGCACGUCAC
Molecule: unclassified non-coding RNA, 400 nt
Filed under: plant metagenome
Description: partial contains 5.8S ribosomal RNA, internal transcribed spacer 2, and large subunit ribosomal RNA
Source: RNAcentral